GAUGAACGCUGGCGGCGUGCUUAACACAUGCAAGUCGAACGAUGAAGCCCAGCUUGCUGGGUGGAUUAGUGGCGAACGGGUGAGUAACACGUGAGUAACCUGCCCUUGACUCUGGGAUAAGCGCUGGAAACGGCGUCUAAUACCGGAUACGAGCUUCCACCGCAUGGUGAGUUGCUGGAAAGAAUUUCGGUCAAGGAUGGACUCGCGGCCUAUCAGGUAGUUGGUGAGGUAACGGCUCACCAAGCCGACGACGGGUAGCCGGCCUGAGAGGGUGACCAGCCACACUGGGACUGAGACACGGCCCAGACUCCUACGGGAGGCAGCAGUGGGGAAUAUUGCACAAUGGGCGCAAGCCUGAUGCAGCAACGCCGCGUGAGGGACGAAGGCCUUCGGGUCGUAAACCUCUUUUAGCAGGGAAGAAGCGAAAGUGACGGUACCUGCAGAAAAAGCACCGGCUAACUACGUG
RNAcentral lists this ribosomal RNA (466 nucleotides) under uncultured bacterium. Its description in RNAcentral is "partial 16S ribosomal RNA". It matches the Rfam family "Bacterial small subunit ribosomal RNA", at positions 28 to 507 of the family's 1533-position model. The record is from RNAcentral.